UGGGGAAUUUUCCGCAAUGGGCGCAAGCCUGACGGAGCAACGCCGCGUGAGGGAUGAAGGCCUCUGGGCUGUAAACCUCUUUUAUCAAGGAAGAAGAUCUGACGGUACUUGAUGAAUAAGCCACGGCUAAUUCCGUGCCAGCAGCCGCGGUAAUACGGGAGUGGCAAGCGUUAUCCGGAAUUAUUGGGCGUAAAGCGUCCGCAGGCGGUUUUACAAGUCUGUCGUUAAAACGUGGAGCUCAACUCCAUUUCGGCGAUGGAAACUGUAAGACUAGAGUGUGGUAGGGGCAGAGGGAAUUCCCGGUGUAGCGGUGAAAUGCGUAGAUAUCGGGAAGAACACCAGUGGCGAAGGCGCUCUGCUGGGCCAUAACUGACGCUCAUGGACGAAAGCUAGGGGAGCGAAAGGG
RNAcentral lists this ribosomal RNA (406 nucleotides) under uncultured Prochlorococcus sp. Its description in RNAcentral is "bacterial SSU rRNA". It matches the Rfam family "Bacterial small subunit ribosomal RNA", at positions 355 to 776 of the family's 1533-position model. Lineage: Bacteria; Bacillati; Cyanobacteriota; Cyanophyceae; Synechococcales; Prochlorococcaceae. The record is from RNAcentral.